GUUUUAGUAGUUUAAAAAAAAACUUUGGUCUUGUAAACCAAAAAUGAAAAUUUUCCUGAAACU
This 63-nucleotide transfer RNA is filed under the name Maja squinado (spiny spider crab). RNAcentral's name for it is "tRNA-Thr". It matches the Rfam family "tRNA". From Rfam's summary of the family: Transfer RNA (tRNA) molecules are approximately 80 nucleotides in length. Their secondary structure includes four short double-helical elements and three loops (D, anti-codon, and T loops). Lineage: Eukaryota; Metazoa; Arthropoda; Malacostraca; Decapoda; Majidae. The record is from RNAcentral.